Molecule: long non-coding RNA, 16259 nt
Filed under: Homo sapiens (human)
Lineage: Eukaryota; Metazoa; Chordata; Mammalia; Primates; Hominidae
Description: non-protein coding lnc-TRIM38-2:8
Source: RNAcentral
AGCGCCUCUGGUGGGCCGCCUCCCGCAGGCCUGGUGUGAGCCUGGGGUCCGUUCUCACAGCUGGAUCUGGGGUCUGAAUGCCGCGCCCUCUGGAGAGCCACAGAUGGGUCUCCGCUGAUGCUUCUCUCAAUUUCCUCUAAGAGCGAGAGCUCCGGGAAAGGAGCCGAUCCUGGUGGAAGACUACAGGUCUGAGUCCACUGGACGAAAAACGAGGCUCCUUGGAUUAGAGACCAUCCUGAGGACAUCCUUGGGAGCCAUGUGCUGAAGAUGGCCAAGCCACAGGAUGAAAGGAGCUGCAUCUUUGAGUCACCACUGGAGAAAGGUCUCUCUAAAUGGAUUUGCAGAGACGUCUUCUCGAAUACUCCCCUUCUAAGUUCCACUUGUAAUCCACUUCUUCUAUUCUCCCAGCAAUCAAUGUGGUUUGGGGAAAUUCCAGAAUCUCAUAAUACCUUGGUCAUGGGUAAAUAAGGAAAGGACCUUUACAUACAUGUGAUGCAAAGCAGAUCAAAACAAGCAGAGCAGCCUAAGAGCAGCAAGACCCCAAAGGAUAAGGGAAGUCCUGCAGAAGAGCAGAGCGGUGCUGCAAAGGCAGGCAGGUAAGGUAAGCAGACAGGGCCAUCAGGAUGGAUCCUUUGGGCAUGCCAGCAUCCACCAGGGACUGGUAGAGCUAUUUAGAGAAACUGAUAAAAAGCUCUGCCAACUACAGUCACAAAAGAUGGAGCUCAGAAUGAUGAGUAGAUGCCUAAAACAUCUCCAUUUUGUUGAUGAAGAAAGUAAAGUUUAUAGAGCUUAGAUUAUUUGCUUUUGUACCUAGCACAGUACUUAGUUUAUAGUAGAUGCACAAUAAGUAUUUGUUUAAUGAGUGAAUGAGUCACUAGCCUAAGACCUUUAAUAUAACAUGCUUAAACCUGCUACCAGGGAUUGGGAACUCACCUAUUUAGUAGUGAGUAGAGGGGUGUGGUACUGGUACUUAAGACAGAUGCAUUGUGGUUGGGUAUGGUGUGUUUUUGUUUUUGUUUUGAGACAGGUUCUCCCUCUGUUGCCCAGGCUGAGAUGCAGUGGCAUUAUCAUGGCUCACUGCAGCCUUAACCUCCCGGGGCUCAAGCGAUCCUCCCACCUCAGCCUCUGAGUAGCUGGGACCACAGGUACGCAUCACCGUGCCUGGCUAAUUUUGUUUUUUGUUUGUUUGUUUUGUAGGGACGGGAUUUUGCCAUGUUGCCCAGGUUGGUCUCGAACUCCUGGGCUCAAGCUACACCCGCCCGCCUCGGCCUCCCAAAGUUGUAGGAUUAAGGUGUGAGCCACUGUGUCCAGCAGAUAUAAUGUUUUUAAAAGUUUGAGAGUUAAUAUGCUCUCUGGUGUGCCCUAGGUCCCACUACUCCUAUUGCCUUAAAACUCACGCAGUACACAUUUGUCUUCCAUGGGCUUCAGUUGUAAGAGAACCCUUUCUACUCUUUGCUGUUCACAAGUCUCCUUUUAAACAGAGCUUGUUCCCAAUGCUGUUUUGUUUUGCCCUCUGCCAUGUUCUUCCGGCCAUCACCUCCUGUGGGGAAAAGAGAGAGAGAUCACAUUGUUACUGUGUCUGUGUAGAAAGAAGUAGACAUAGGAGACUCCAUUUUGUUCUGUACUAAGAAAAAUUCUUCUGCCUUGAGAUGCUGUUAAUCUAACCCUAGCCCCAACCCUGUGCUCCCUGAGACAUAUGCUGUGUCAACUCAGGGUUAAAUGGAUUAAGGGCUGUGCAAGAUGUGCUUUGUUAAAGAAAUGCUUGAAGGCAGCAUGCUCGUUAAGAGUCAUCUCCACUCCCUAAUCUCAAGUACUCAGGGACACAAAACACUGAGGAAGGCCACAGGGACCUCUGCCUAGGAAAGCCAGGUAUUGUCCAAGGUUUCUCCCCAUGUGAUAGUCUGAAAUGUGGCCUCGUGGGAAGGGAAAGACCUGACCGUCCCCCAGCCCGACACCCGUAAAGGGUCUGUGCUGAGGAGGAUUAGUAAAAGAGGAAGGAACGCCUCUUUGCAGUUGAGACAAGAGGAAGGCAUCUGUCUCCUGCUCGUCCCUGGGCAAUGGAAUGUCUCAGUGUAAAACCCGAUUGUAUAUUCCAUCUACUGAGAUAGGGGAAAACUGCCUUAGGGCUGGAGGUGGGACAUGCUGGCAGCAAUACUGCUCUUCAAGUCAUUGAGAUGUUUAUGUGUAUGCAUAUCUAAAGCACAGCACUUAAUUCUUUACCUUGUUUAUGAUGCAGAGACCUUUGUUCACGUGUUUACCUGCUGACCUUCUCUCCACUAUUAUCCUUUGACCCUGCCACAUCCCCCUCUCCGAGAAACACCCAAUAAUGAUCAAUAAAUACUAAGGGAACUCAGAGGCCGGUGGGAUCCUCCGUAUGCUGAACACCGGUCCCCUGGACCCCUUUUUUUCUUUCUCUAUACUUUGUCUCUGUGUCUCUUUCUUUUCCAAGUCUCUCAUUCCACCUAACGAGAAACAACCACAGGUGUGGAGGGGCAGCCCAACCCUUCAACCUACCUAUCUUAUCUCUUCCAUUAUCUAUCCACAUAUGUCCUCUGUAUUUUUUUGAGUAACAUUUAUAAGCAUAAGUCCUUAGGUAGCUAUGCCACUUACAUAAUGAACUAGAAAAGGUAACCAAACAGAAUAGGGUUGUACUCAGAUAUACCUUCUACAAGUUUGUGUUACACAUAUUUACACAUAUUUAAAAAUAUAUACAUAUUAUUAUUGUGCUGUGUGGUUAUUAGGCAAACUCAAUAAGCAGUUCUUAUAAAGUAUACUCAAUGUAACUUUUAUAAACUUACCAUAUUUUAUAGUUAUUCUGUUUUUAUUAGCUGCUAUAAACUACCUGGGUGUCUUGCAUGAGUCAUUUUAUUGUAAUGUUUUUGUAUCUGUUGAAUGAGGAGUUAGAAGGCAUCAUCUUUAAGGAGCUUUACAGGUACAUGUCCAGGGCUCAAUAAUUUUAUUAUUAUUUCCUGGACAGAUAAAACCUAAGCAGGUGAAGGGGAAAGAAUAAAAGUGCAGGGUGGAAGUUGCUUGAAUGCUAACUGGGUCAACGAUCUCCCAGAAAACCCCUGUAAAAGAAACCUAAGAACCUACAUCACCAGGAGACCAUUGGGACCAGUUCCUCUGGAAUCCCUGAGGCCAGAUAAUCAGCUGAAGCUUUACAUUCUGUCCCUUUCUGGUCAUGACUUUCUCCACAGUCUGCUUGGUGCCUCCUCCUCUGUGACUCUAAAUUCUUAGGAUCAACCCCUCUUGCAUAUGCACAUCCGCAGUGCCUGUGGGAUACGGUGUGGUGUGGGGAGGAAACUCUCUUCUGCCUUAAUAUUUUCCUGUGUGCCCCAGGCCUUGACGGAAUCCUGUCUCUCCAUAAUGUUGCUUUUCGAGGAGACUGAUUGAUUGAGAUGGCGUCUCACUUUGUCGCCCAGGCUGGAAUGCAGUGGCGUGAUCUCGGCUCACCAACCUCCACCUCCAAGGCUCGAGUGAUUCUCCCACUUAAGUCUCUUGAGUAGCUGGGACUACAGGUGCAUGCCACCACGCCUGACAAAUUUUUUUAUUUUUUGUAGAGAUGAGGUUUCGCCAUGUUGACCAGGCUGGUCUCAAACUCCUGGACUCAAGUGAUCUGCCCACCUCGGCCUCCCAAAGUACUGGGAUUACAGGCAUGAGCCAAUGUGCCCGUCCUGAGGAGUUUUCUUCUGGAAUUCCUGCUGGGUUUUUGUAGUCAGUCCUCUCCCCAUUUCCCACAUUGGCUCUUGCAGACCUUCCUUUUCCCCAUUUCUAUUUGCUACCAUGUCAGACAUGACUUUUGCCAUAGGAUCUCUAUUCUACUAUAGAGGAAACCAAAGCCAUCAGUAGAAAUUUCACUAACAUGGAAUCAGAUUUAUAGAAGAAAGGGGGAGGAAAGUUUUGCCUUAACACCUGGAAGGGUUUCGUUUCUUUUAGUAGCUGGGAGACAGAAACAUAAGAAAGUAGCUUAGUAAGCUUUCUGCUGUUCAACUGAUGAUGUGUGAGCUGUCAGUAGUUCAAACUAGUCAUUAUCUUUAUGAAUUAAUUAUGUAAUAACUUAAACAAUGUCAUAAACCUUCAAAUCAGUUUAAGUCUAAAUGUGUCAUAUUUAAUAACAAGAGCAAGAAACAUACGUUAUGAUGAAGAGCUCUUAUAUUUUCUUUGGAUAAAAGUCAGUAGGCGGGGCGCGGUGGCUCAUGCCUGUGAUCCUAGCACUUUGGGAGGCUGAGGUGGGCAGAUCAUGAGGUCAGGAGAUCGAGACCAUCCCGGCUAACACGGUGAAACCCUGUCUCUACUAAAAAUACAAAAAAUUAGCUGGGCGUGGUGGCGGGCGCCUGUGGUCCCAGCUACUCGGGAGGUUGAGGCAGGAGAAUGGCGUGAAUCCGGGAGGCGGAGGUUGCAGUGAGCCGAGAUUGUGCCACUGCAUUCCAGCCUGGGCGACAGAGCAAGACUCCGUCUCAGAAAAAGAAAAAAAAAAAAAGUCAGUAAAAUUUAAGAGAAAAAUGCAUUUGCUUUGGGACUUUUAAUAUUUAGUCUACAAAUCUAGCCACCAUAGAAAUCUGCUGAUUAAAUACGGGUUCUGUUAAAAUGGAAACAUGCAUUUUGGGGGAAAAAAGAGGGAGUGUUUUAGUGAUUUUGUUUUUUACACUUGUUUAUAAUAAAAUUUUAAGCAAUCUUGAGGGGAACAUUUUAUUUCUACUUGUAACUGCAUAAAGUUAUGAGAUAAAGUUACAAGCUAUAUCACAUACAGUUUGUAGCUUUAUAAAUUAUGAAAUUCUAACAGAAUAAAUAUGCUAAUAUGAUGAAAAUGUCAUAAAUUACAUUAGAAUAUAUUUUAAUAAACCAAUUCAGAAGGAGCCAAUACCCAAUUUCAAAAUCAUAUUAAUUGUAAAAUUAAUUAGGGCAGCCAAAAUAUUCUGGAAUUCUUUCUAAUAAAACAAAUGAGUGUAAAUACAGUCGUACUGACAAAUCUGAAGAAUUAUGCAGCAUAAAAAGUGAUUAUCCCAGCACUUUGGGAGGCCAAGGUGGGCAGAUCAUGAGGUCAGGAGUUGGAGACCAGCCUGACCAACAUGGUGAAACCCCGUCUUUACUAAAAAUACAAAAAUUAGCCGGGCUUGGUGGUGCACACCUGUAAUCCCAGCUGCUCAGGAGGCUAAGGCAGGAGAACUGCUUGAAUCCAGGAGGUGGAAGUUGCAGUAAGCCAAGAUCACGCCACUGCACUCCAGCCUGGGCGACAGAGUGUGACUCUGACUCAAAAAAAAAAUAAAUAAAUAAAAAUAAAAGUUUUAAAAAAGUGAUUAUUAUGAACACAGAGUAAUCUAGUAAAAAUGGUUAAGUGAAAACAGCAAAAUACAAAAUUGAAUAUGUACUAUAACAAUAUAUGCAAAAUAUACUCAGAUUUAUAAAAAUUAGAAUGUAGAAAAGUAAAUAUAGCUCUUCAUAAUUUUGUUCUGAAGUUUAAAAAUAUAUAUAUUUUUGAAUGGAUAACUUUCUUUUUCUAAAUGCUUACAGUAGAGCCCACGAUGGUUGUUAAAAGCCCCCAGGUUCAGCCUUCUUUAAUUGUGUGGUCAGCCUGCCAUCAACCCGAGGCCUCCCUCUGCUGGGCAAAUUUGGGAACACAUUGAGAAAUCCUUACACGUAAUUCCUUCUCUUCAUGUUCCUGGUGAGCAUUUUUCCCAUUGGGUUUCCAUACUCUGCCCUCUUGAAGUCCUGCACCCUGACAUUGCAGUGUCAUUCCUCUUCUACUGAAGUCUACAACUAUUAGCUUAUUGUCUCUAGCAAGUCUCCCUUUAGCUACAAAUAUCAUUCAGAGUUUUACCUUUCAGAAACUUUCUCCAUGAGCAUUCUGGAGUAGACUCUAGGUGCACUAGGUGCAGUUAGAAAAAGUUCUGAUUUGUUGGUGGAGCUAUAGGAGGAGAGACAAUGGUGGGCUGGAGAAGGGUGUCUACAUGCAGAGAAACUGACUGGAAACUCAGAGAGAUGAUGGGGAUUAAAAUAAUCCUAUUGAAUCUGCACAAAAGUGUUUUAUUAUAAUUGAUCCUGAACUAUGUAAAGGUAAGCUCCAGUGAGUAGUUACAGUCUGUCCCUAAGAUGGACUCUUUCUUUUUGCUUUUAUUUUUAUUGUAUUUAUUUUAUUGUAUUUUUUUUUUCUAAAGACAGGGUCUUGCUAUGUUACCCAGGGUGGUCUCAAGUGGUCCUCCUGGCAUCAAAUGAUCCUCCCACCUCAGCCUCCCAAAGCGCUAGGAUUACAGGUGUGAGCUACCACACCCAAAUGAUUCUUUCUUUUCAAAUACAGAGUUCAGCAGCAAUUUUAAAGAAGUACUGAACUCUACUGCCUGGAAGAUGGAAUGGCCCUCACAAUUCUUCCAGGCAAGCUCUGCACUCAGUGGUAUGGACCACAAGGCAAGCCCAUUAAGGGGUUAAAUUACUGACAAACAAUAAUUUCUAAAUAUGAACAUUUCAGGAGGAACUAAGAUGGCUCCUUCUUGGAGAAUAAGUUGGCCGGCUUCUCUAGUUAUCAGACUAUCAGAUGGGGAGGAAAGAGCCCCUCUGUCCCGGUGAGACAGGACCCGCCAGCGCCCAAGCUCUAAGGCUUUCUGAUGAGCAAAUGGGGUUUCCAUCUUUCUAGCUUCAGGACUCGUAACUACUCAGAUUAUUUCCUUCAAUCUGGAUAUUCAAGACAAGAACAGUUCAUGGUGUUGCGAAGGCCCAGAUUUAAAUCACAUAUGCAAAGAUACUGACAUUCAGUGGAGGGUCACUUAGAUUAUAGCCAGAUGACUUUCCCUAAAUUGAUAGCUCAAAUGGUAGUUGUGGAUAUUUUUGCUCUUAGUUACUUGCAUAGUCACUUGCCAGAGGUAAUAAAGUUUUAGUGUGGUUGUGGAAAAUAAUGGCCAUAUAUUUAGGAACAAAAUUUUAAUGAUGAUUGAAAACUGAAUUAGCUUUAACAUGUGAAUAUGCUCAGGGGACAUAGGACCACAGAUCUCUGUUCCUUCCUAUUGCCACUUCUUUCCUUUCCCUGGUAGCAUGCUUCCAUUACCCAUUACUUCAAACACUGUUUCUGUGUCUCCAACUCCCUUGCAUCAUGGUCUUUUCAUUAUUCAGACACAGACACAGCUCGAUUAUGGGUAAACUUUUUUCUGUGGCUACAGAAGAGUUGAGCAUGGCUGAAGCAUCGUUGAGCAUGACUGAAGAAAAACACCUAACCUUGAAUUUUUUGAUCAAUAUAAAUUUAUAUCCACAGAUUUUACCUGACUGAUCUUCAUUGCCCACCAGUCCUACAAAGUUUGCCAGAUUGGUUCUGUUUCCACUUUACAUACUCAGCAAAUACUUAUUAAGCACACACUUUGUGUUAGGCUUAAGUGUAGAUAUUGAAGAGGCACUGGUGAAUGAGCAGAGGCUCUGCCCCCAUGGGACCUGCAUGCUAUUUGGCAGCUCUUUCAGACAUUCUCCUCUCUCAAAGCUUUGAGCCCCUCUAUACCCCUAUAAGCACCUACUUUCAGCUGCUCCCUCACUCCCCCCUUCAUGGGGGAAAUAACAGCCAUCGUGGUAAAACCUCCACUGCCUGACAGAGCUAUAUUUACCAUCUUUUCUUUAAUUUUUAUUUUUAAUGGACACAGUUGUAUAUAUUUAUGGGGUACUAUGUGAUAUUUUGAUACAUGUAUAGAUUGUGUAAUGAUCAAAUCAGGAAUUAGAUCAGUUUUUUGUCUUUUUUUUGGUAAAAGAUAAUCUUUUAUACUCUUUUGGUCCUGAAAAAUGGAGGAGUGCCAUAUUAGGAUUCCAACAGAAAAAGUUAAACCAAAAGAAUAUAUGAAGGGCAUAUAAUGAAGGGAUAUCUACAAAGUUGUGACAGGGCUAAUGGGAAGAACAGGGGAUAUGAGGCAGCCCAAGAUCAGCAACAGUAGUGAUCCAGUGUCACCCUGUGCUGGUUAUGAAGAUUUAGUCUCUUCUAUCUUUUCCAAUACCGCUUUGCUAGCCACCUCCCCAAACCCUACCAAUAGAAAGCACUGGAGGAAGACUAGAGGGCUGGAAGGAUGUGAAAAGAUUUCCCACUUUGUUUGUUGACAUCCUCACAGAAUGGGUUCUUCAACCUGGCAGUGGCAGUUGAAUCCAGUAACAGCAGUUGGCUUCAGUUUGGAGAUCUUCCAUGCUCCUAAAAUCAGCCUCAUCAUGCCUCUAUCUACAGACAUAUCAUCAUCAGUGGUCCAGCAUACACUCCUCAGAGGUCCCAGUUCUGGGGAUCUCUUCAAAGAAUCUUUUCCUUGUUCUCCUAAACCUGGAGGUGGUAGUUGCUUUCUGUCAUUACUAUCUCUGAUACGUUUGUCCACUUUUCCAUUUUCAGUCCUCUUAUAACUAGUUAACAACCAUUCCCAUAAAAUUCUUUGUUCAAUUUCAGUGCAAUUUCUAGCUCCCAGUUAUACCCUGACAGACACACCUUUAAAUCUGAAGAGGCAAUGGGAGGGAACCUGUAACCAGAGCUAGGCCAGAGCUGGGACUGUGGAGGAAGAGCUGCCCACCAAGCAGGGGGGUGAUGCAGGGAAUAAGUACACUAACCUCUCUCUCCUUUGCCAUCUACAUUCCUGCUGGGCUGAUCACUGGCCAAAUCCAGCUGUUGCAAGAGGGCAGGGCUGCCCAGCUAAUGCUAUCUGUAGAAGCUGGGCUUCUGGGGCACAGAGCAAGUCAGAGACAGGCAGAACAGGGAUGUGGGUUUGGACCAAACACUGAAUAAACCAGAUCAAGGAUUCUUCUAUCAAGACAAGUUUAUAUACUUGCAGCUUGAUCCCAUUGUUUCCCUUAGAUAACUGUGCACUUGUUUUUGUCUGCCCUCUUUCCUGUGUCUACACUCUUCCUGUCUUAUUCUAUUUACACAUAGCUCAGUCUUUUCCAAUUAAAAAAAAAAAAAAAAAGCUUUCCCUCUCCCAAAUCUCCAUGCAGCUGCUGACUUCUCUCUUCCAAAGCCACACUGUGGGAGAGUCAGUUACACCUCCUGACCUCUGACAGGUGCAACACACUAUAGUGAGGCUUCUGCCCUUGGUAUUCCUCUGGCUCCAUUAUUUACAAGGUCACUAAUGACUUCCUAUUUCUAAAUCCAGAGUGCCUUUUUAGUUAUCUUCCUUGCCUUCUUGGCAUCUCUAGAUAACAAUACUUGUCUCAUUCUAACUUUUGUCUCUCCUUACAGCUCUUUCAUUCAUAAUUCAUUGUUAUUCAGUUGGAGCCUUGAUGGUGUUAGGGAGAAGCAGCAUUCUGUAGUCAAAGUGUUAAGCCUCAGUUUAUUAGCAUGCCUAUAUCUUGGGGCUGGGACCGUCACAAGUGUUUAUAAUGAUACAACUCCUCCUCCUCCUCCUUCUCCUCCUCCUCUUCCUCAAGUGUUUAUAAUGAUACAACUCCUCCUCCUCCUUCUCCUCCUCCUCUUCCUCAAGUGUUUAUAAUGAUACAACUCCUCCUCCUCCUCCUUCUCCUCCUCUUCCUCAAGUAUUUAUAAUGAUACAACUCCUCUUCCUCCUUCUCCUCCUCCUCAGACCUUUGCUCCUUUCCUGGCUGCACCAUUUCCAAUUUAUUUUCAUGAAGCUCUGAUCCCUGUUGACUAAUUUUCUUCCCUUAAGUGAGACAGAAAGCCUAGAUGAGGCUGCAGUGGGAAGAAUUACCUUCUCCCAGCUGGGAUAAGACUCUGGCAAAAUGUUUUCCCCUUGAGAGUAGGCCUUUGUUUUGAAGAAGGUUCUGGGGUGUAUUUCAUAAUAAUUCUUCUCUCCCUGCCAAAGCCACAAGAGGAUCCUUCUCAGAUCUUCACUGCAGGAACCUGGUGGGCUUUCUGAUGCCCACAAAAGUGUGGGAGCUUCUCACUCUCAUGGGCAUUCACAGUUGGCCUCCAGCUUUUUGUCAGAGUUACCAAUUUAAAUGUUCUCAAAUGUGAUACUGUCUCAACUUCCAGGACAUCACACACUCAUGAUUUUCUACUAUCCUGACAUUUGCAGUCUUUUUAGCAGAUCUCCCUCCCUCUCCCUGCACCAUGGGUAUUGGUCAUCUCAGGAUCUGUCCCAGGCUUUCUACUCUUCAUGCCCUUUGAGACAACACAUGAUCUGACCUGCCCUUUCAGGAAGAAAUGUUCUGUCUACCUACUUGCUCCAGUUAAAAACCCUAGUGUCAUCUUUGACCCUUCUCAUCCCUACAUCUAAUCUGUUGAUUCUACCUCCUAAUUUUCUCUCAAACGCAUCUAUUUUUCUUCAAUUUCAGUGCUACUCUCUUGCUCUAAUUGUACAUCAUCUUUUUUAGAAUUACUGUGACAUUUUCUUGCCUCCAGUUCUGCCUCAGUCCAUCCACUUCACAGCUAAAUUUUGGAUGUACACUUUUGAACUAUUACUGUAGCAAAAGUAAUAUGUAAUAACUGUAAUGCAGAAAUAUAAAAUAUGCAAUAUAAAAGAAAUACAUGCAUAAAUGAUCCCAACACUAAGGAAACAAUAUUGAUCAAUAAUUAAAUAAUUGGUGGAUAGUGAAUGACAACAUAGAGCAAAGUGUUCAGUAGGUUUUAAAAGCUGUGGGUUCAAUAAAUGCUCAUGAAGCUUGUUCAGGGGCUUGCAAAAUAUGUAAUUUGAAUUUUUAAAGAAAAGGAAUUUCAGAUAAGAAAAAACAUACAUAACAUGAAACAAUACUUGUGGUGGUUUCAGGGAGGUCAUGUUCUCACAUUCAGGUGCCAAGGCCACCGUACAUCCGGACACUGAGGCCACGGACUUGGUCUGCAACCUCCAUGACAGCCUUGUAGAUUUGAAACCGAACUCCAAGGAGCAGUUGUGCUGUGAGUUCCAGAGUUUGGGGACAGAGGAAACACCAUUCUUUGGAAGUCUAACUUCCUUAAGAGGUGUCCCUUAGACAUCUAGUGUCCGGUGUUAUGGAGGUCCUUGUGCUCUGAGGAAGGAGCCCCUUGUUGAUUGAUGGAGCAAAAUUUUUUUAAACAAGGAACUGUACCCGUAUCUGGGCAUGAAGCCAGAGAAAUCCCUGAGGGCAGGGCCAAGGCUCUCAAAGAUUUUCAGGGAGAUUCCCAGCCUUUUUAAGUCUCGCCUAUUCUUUUUUUUUUCUCUAACUGGCCAUUUUGUAUAUAUGGAGGUUAUUGAUUUUUUUGCUUUUAUAUCCUGAUAUUUUAAUAACUGUUCAUUUUUUAGUUAUUUGAAUUAUCUACAUUGAUUAUUUGAAUGUUCUUUUUUUUGUUUUUUUGAGACGAAGUCUCGCUCUGUCGCCCAGGGUGGGGUGCAGUGACAGGAACUUGGCUCACUGCAACCUCUGCCUCCUGGGUUCAAGCGAUUCUCCUGCCUCAGUCUCCUGAUUAGCUGGGAUUACAGGUGCCCGCCACCACACCCAGCUAAUUUUUGUAUUUUUACUAGAGAUGAGGUUUCACCAUGUUGGCCAGUCUGGUCUCAAACUCCUGACCUCAGGUGAUCCACCCACAUCGGCCUCCCAAAGUGCUGGUAUUACAGACAUGAGCUAUUGCACUUGGGCUUUGAAUUUUCUACGUAUCUGACUUCUACGAAGAAAACUAUAAUGUAUUACUCAGAUAAAUUAAACAGGAAAACUAAAUAAUGGAGGAGUAUAUUUACAGUUGAAGCGGUCAAUAUUUUAAAGGUAUUAAUUGUCCCCAAACUGAUCUACAAAACCAUUGUAAUCCUAAUCAGAUUCCCAAUAAGCUUUAUUAUAGAAAUUGACAAACAGGGUUCAAAUUUAAUACACAAAUCCAAGGGCCCAAAAUAAACAAAUCUGUUGCUUUAUUAAAUAUCAAAACUGAUAAAAUGACAAUAAUCAGGGCAGUGUUGUCCAAAAAUAGACAAACGAAUGGAACAGGCUCAAACAAAUAUGGACAUUGAUUUACAUCUAAAGUGGCACCAUACAACAAUGGUGAAAGGACUCUUGUAAAUAAAUGGCAUGGGACAAUUGUAUAGCCUUUUAAACAGAAAAAGAACAAAAAGGAAAAAAAAAGAAACUUGACCCCCUACUUCACACUAUACACAAAAAACAAUUCCAGGGGAACUAACAUGAAAAGCAAAAUAAAGUUAAACAUGAAAAGCAAAAUAAAGUAUAUGGUAAAAAAUUUAUCUUACCCAAAAAGAGGUCUAGCCUUUGCCCUCAGCUACUGGGAGAUGAAUUUUAGACCCUUGAAAUGUUCUCACUGAUAAGUGUGUCUUUGUUUACCUGGAGGUUUUGACCACCACACAGUCAACAAUGUGAUUUAUAAUAGGAACUUUGAGCCACACAGUAUCAGCUCUACCUGUGGAGGUAGACUAAAAGAUCGGCCAUGUGAGCAGUCAACCAUGGCAGGCCAUUAAAACUGCACACUGAGGCUCGGGUGAAAUACAGUUCUCUUGUAUACGGUUUCUACAUGGUUUUAGUUCCUGUGGUCUACUGCAGUCCAAAAAUAAUAAACGGUAAAUUUCAGAAAUAAACAUUCACCUAACUUUUAUACAGUAUAUUCUUAACAAUUAUUCUAAUUUAUUGUUAUUAAUCUCUUACUGUGCCUAAUUUAUAAAUUAAGCCUUAUCAUAGCUGUGUCUGUAUAGGAAAAAACAGCUAUAUAGAGUUCAGUACUAUCCAUGGUUUCAGACAUCCACUGGAGGUCCUGGAACAUAUGUUUUGUGCAUAAGUGGGGACUGCUCUGUACGUCAUGUGUAUUGUCACACAUUAAUGCUGGGAAAGUAAUACUGUUCAUAUUACUGGGAGAGGACAACUGGAAGCUCAUAUUUGGAACUUGCCUGGAUUGUGCCUAUAUUAGUUUCCUAGGGCUGCUGUAACAAAGAGCUAGAAGCUAGGGUGGCUUAAAACAACAAAUAUAUUCUCUUGUAGUUCUGGAAGCUAGAAAUCUGACAUGAAGGUAUCAUUAGAUCUAUGCUUCCACUGAAGCCUGUAGGAAAAUCCUUCCUUGACUCUUCCUAGCUUCUCGUACUUGCUGGCAACCUUUGACAUUCCUUGACCUGCAGCUGCAUAACCUCAGUCUCUGCCUGUGUGUGUCUGUCUUCACGUGACCACCUUAGAAGAAUACUAGUUCUAUUAAAAAAUAUAUAUAUACUACUUCUUCUAAGUCACCAGCCCAUCAUACUGUACUAUAACCUCAUCUUAACUAAUUAUAUCUGCAACUAUCCUAUUUCCAAAUAAGGCCACAAUUCUGAGGUACUGGGAGUUGGGACUUUAAACAUAUCUUCUGGGGGCAAGGGAGAUCUGCAUACAAUUCGAUCCAUAAUACUGCCUUGUGUGUUUCUUUUCUCAGCUGAUUUUAAUCUUUAUUCCUUGAGUUGUUUCCCCUUUUCAACUAUUACAAACAAUGAAUUUUGCUGUGUAUGUGUCUUGGUAUAUAUGUGCACACAUAUCUGCUGUUUGUAUACCUCAGAGUGAAAUUGUUGGGUCAAAUGCUAAAAUCUUUUUAAAAGUAGUUGUAUAAUUUUACAUUGCAUUGGAAUGACAUAAUAAGCUAUAUAUCCUAUAAUAAAUUGUAACCAUGAGGCUAACAGCUUCAGCAAGUUCUGUGAGUCCUUUUAGCAAAUUACUAACCUAAGGUUGAUUGGGAACCACAGACCUCCCAACUUAUAAUUGGUGUUAGAAGUGAGGGUAGUCUUGAGAACUAAUUUCACAAGAAGGUAUUAUAAAAUAAGAUCUUCAUGACCUUGAAAUAGAAAAUGAUUUUUUAAAUAAGAUACAAAAAAGGUUGUGCAUAAAAGGGCAGUGUGCUUAAUUUGAGUACACUAAAUUAAUGACUUUAAUGCAUCAUGAGAUAUCAUUGGCUGGGUGCAGUGGUGGCUCACACCUCUAGUCCCAACACUUUGGGAGGCCAAGGUUGAUGGAUUGCUUGAGCUCAGGAGUUUGAGACCAACUUGGGCAACAGCACCAUCUCUACAAAAAAAUACAAAGAUUAGCUGGGCAUGGUGGCCUGCACAUGUAGUCCCACCUACUAAGGAGGAUAAGAUGGGAGGAUCGCUUGAUCCUGGGAGGUGGAGGCUGCAGUGAGCUGUGAUUGUGCCACUGCACUCCAGCCUCUGACAGAGUGAAGACAAGUUACAGAGGAAAUACCUGCAACACAUAAAAUGGAUAAAGGGUUCGUGAGCAAAAUUUAAAAACUUAAAACAGAAAAGACAGGCCAGGUUUGGUGGCUCACACCUGUAAUCUCAGCAUUUUGGGAGGCCGAGGCAGGUGGAUCACCUGAGGUCAGGAGUUUGAGACCAGCCUGGCCAACAUGGUGAAACCCCGUCUCUAUCAAAAAUACAAAAAUUAGCAGGGCGCGGUGGUAUGCACCUGUAGUCCCAGCUACUUGGGAGGAGGAGAAUUUCUUGAACCCAGGAGGUGGAGGUUGCAGUGAGCUGAGACAGCGCCACUGCACUCCAACCCGGGUGACACAGCAAGAGUCCACCUCAAAAAAAAAGAAAGGACAAAAAGGACAAAAAGACAGCUAUCUUAAACCAACAAGAAAAAACACAAUCUUUUUGGCCUAAAUUGUGUUCCCCCAAAAUUGAUGUUGAAACUCUAACACCCAAUGUGCCUAUAUUUGGAGAUAGGGAUUUUGGGACUUUAUGGAGAUAUUUAAGGUUAAAUGAGGUCAUAAGAGUAGGCCAGUAGUCUGAUAGAUCUGGUGUCCUUAUAAGAAAAGGAAGAGACAUGAGGUCAUUUUAUGGGCAUAUGAAGAGGCCACAUGAGGACACAAAAGGCGACUGCUGUGGUUUGAAUAUGAGAUGACAUCUCACAUCUGCCAUAACAGUAAGAAGGCCCUUGCCAGAGGUGGGCCCCUCGACCAUAGGCUUUAUAGCCACCAGAAUUGUAAGAAAUAAAUCUGUAUUCUUUAUAAAUUAUUUGGUCUCUGGUAUUCUGUUCAGCACCAAACAAUCUAAGACAGCAACUAUCUUCAGGUCAAUAAGAGAGCCCUCACUAGAAACUGAAUCUCUUGGCACCUCAAUUUAGGAUUUCUGGCCUGGCCUUUAGAACUGUGAGGUAAUAAACUCCUUUUGUUCAAGCUACCUAGUCUAGUAUUUUUGUUAUGGCAGCCCAAGUCGACUGAUAUACAAUCCAAUUAAGAAAAAAUGGGCAAAAGAUGUAAAAUAAAACCAUAAUGAGAUAAUACUGCACAUCUGCCACAAUGGAUAACAUCUUCAAAAGAUUAACAAUUUUAAUUGGAAAAAAAUAUUGGGAAGUAUAUGGAAGAACAGGAAUUCCCAGCUAGAUUCCAUCAACAUUAGGUUUGUGAGGUUCAUCCAUGCUGUUUAUAACUGUGGUUUUAAUUUUCAUUUCAUCGCAUGUAAACCUAAUAUCACCACUUUCAAAAAGAGUUUAGCAUUUGACCCAACAAUUCCUCUCCUAGGUAUACAAACAAAAUAUGUAUUCCUAUAUAUACCAAGACACAUACACAGGAAUAUUCACGGUAUUGUUUAUAUUAGCUGAAAAAGGGAAGCAAAUAUGCAUCAACAGUAGACACCUAAAUUGUUGCACUCAUAACAUGGAAUAUUACAUAACAAUAAAAAUGAAUUAAAGUUAUACACAGCAACACAGAUGAAUCUAUUCAAACCUAAUGUUCUGGAGUGAAAUAUGUCAGGUACAUAGGAUUACAUUUGUUUUAUUUCCAUUUUAUAUGUUUCAAAAACAGGCAUACUAAAUUACAGCAUUGGAAAUCAAAAUAGGGGUUAUGUUUAGGGCAGAUGGAGUGAUAAUGUGACUGGAAGCAAGCAUCAGGCGGCUCUGGGAGGGUUGGCUGAUUUUCUGUUUUUUUACUUGUGUGGCAAUUAUUAUGGUGUUCACUUUGUGUUCAUUUAUUGAGCUUUGCAUUUUUGUUUUGCUGUGGUUUUCUGUUUAUAUGUUAUGCUUCUCAGUUUAAAGAAUGUUGAAAUCUUCUAAUACGAAAUUUUUUUUCAAUGAGAAGGAUUUUAAGCAUCCAGAAUCAAUUUUAAAAUCUCCAAUUUGCUUUAUAUGUAGGUUUAUGGACUGCUUAACUGCUACUCAUUUUUUCCUUCAUUUAUCAAUAGUGAAAUAUGAAAUUAAAAUAAUGACUAUUUGUGGCAAAAUUAGGGACUAUGUAGCAUAUUAACAACUUUAUAAAUAAAAGAAUAAAUCAACUCACCUGGGAGUUGUUACUGUCAUUGACCUAAUGCUAUUUCCCAUGGUACUCCUUGUCCCCAUUGAGAGACAUGAGAUACUGCAGAUUUAUGGGUCACUUUCAACAUGUCUCCUCCAGGCCUCAUUUUAGAGAAGCAUAACAUCAUGAGGUUCUAUACAGGCAAGAUCUAGGCUUGUGUCCUUGAACCUUGCAU